GCUAGCUACAGGCUUAACACAUGCAAGUCGAGGGGCAGCAUGGUCUUAGCUUGCUAAGGCCGAUGGCGACCGGCGCACGGGUGAGUAACACGUAUCCAACCUGCCGUCUACUCUUGGACAGCCUUCUGAAAGGAAGAUUAAUACAAGAUGGCAUCAUGAGUCCACAUGUUCACAUGAUUAAAGGUAUUCCGGUAGACGAUGGGGAUGCGUUCCAUUAGAUAGUAGGCGGGGUAACGGCCCACCUAGUCUUCGAUGGAUAGGGGUUCUGAGAGGAAGGUCCCCCACAUUGGAACUGAGACACGGUCCAAACUCCUACGGGAGGCAGCAGUGAGGAAUAUUGGUCAAUGGGCGAGAGCCUGAACCAGCCAAGUAGCGUGAAGGAUGACUGCCCUAUGGGUUGUAAACUUCUUUUAUAAAGGAAUAAAGUCGGGUAUGCAUACCCGUUUGCAUGUACUUUAUGAAUAAGGAUCGGCUAACUCCGUGCCAGCAGCCGCGGUAAUACGGAGGAUCCGAGCGUUAUCCGGAUUUAUUGGGUUUAAAGGGAGCGUAGAUGGAUGUUUAAGUCAGUUGUGAAAGUUUGCGGCUCAACCGUAAAAUUGCAGUUGAUACUGGAUAUCUUGAGUGCAGUUGAGGCAGGCGGAAUUCGUGGUGUAGCGGUGAAAUGCUUAGAUAUCACGAAGAACUCCGAUUGCGAAGGCAGCCUGCUAAGCUGCAACUGACAUUGAGGCUCGAAAGUGUGGGUAUCAAACAGGAUUAGAUACCCUGGUAGUCCACACGGUAAACGAUGAAUACUCGCUGUUUGCGAUAUACUGCAAGCGGCCAAGCGAAAGCGUUAAGUAUUCCACCUGGGGAGUACGCCGGCAACGGUGAAACUCAAAGGAAUUGACGGGGGCCCGCACAAGCGGAGGAACAUGUGGUUUAAUUCGAUGAUACGCGAGGAACCUUACCCGGGCUUAAAUUGCAGAUGAAUUACGGUGAAAGCCGUAAGCCGCAAGGCAUCUGUGAAGGUGCUGCAUGGUUGUCGUCAGCUCGUGCCGUGAGGUGUCGGCUUAAGUGCCAUAACGAGCGCAACCCUUGUUGUCAGUUACUAACAGGUUCUGCUGAGGACUCUGACAAGACUGCCAUCGUAAGAUGUGAGGAAGGUGGGGAUGACGUCAAAUCAGCACGGCCCUUACGUCCGGGGCUACACACGUGUUACAAUGGGGGGUACAGAGGGCCGCUACCACGCGAGUGGAUGCCAAUCCCAAAAACCUCUCUCAGUUCGGACUGGAGUCUGCAACCCGACUCCACGAAGCUGGAUUCGCUAGUAAUCGCGCAUCAGCCACGGCGCGGUGAAUACGUUCCCGGGCCUUGUACACACCGCCCGUCAAGCCAUGGGAGCCGGGGGUACCUGAAGUGCGUAACCGCGAGGAGCGCCCUAGGGUAAAACUGGUGACUGGGGC
RNAcentral lists this ribosomal RNA (1442 nucleotides) under uncultured organism. Its description in RNAcentral is "SSU rRNA". It matches the Rfam family "Bacterial small subunit ribosomal RNA". The record is from RNAcentral.